This 349-nucleotide ribosomal RNA is filed under the name Salmonella enterica. Its description in RNAcentral is "partial 23S ribosomal RNA". It matches the Rfam family "Bacterial large subunit ribosomal RNA", at positions 2368 to 2716 of the family's 2925-position model. Lineage: Bacteria; Pseudomonadati; Pseudomonadota; Gammaproteobacteria; Enterobacterales; Enterobacteriaceae. The record is from RNAcentral.
CUUGACUGCGAGCGUGACGGCGCGAGCAGGUGCGAAAGCAGGUCAUAGUGAUCCGGUGGUUCUGAAUGGAAGGGCCAUCGCUCAACGGAUAAAAGGUACUCCGGGGAUAACAGGCUGAUACCGCCCAAGAGUUCAUAUCGACGGCGGUGUUUGGCACCUCGAUGUCGGCUCAUCACAUCCUGGGGCUGAAGUAGGUCCCAAGGGUAUGGCUGUUCGCCAUUUAAAGUGGUACGCGAGCUGGGUUUAGAACGUCGUGAGACAGUUCGGUCCCUAUCUGCCGUGGGCGCUGGAGAACUGAGGGGGGCUGCUCCUAGUACGAGAGGACCGGAGUGGACGCAUCACUGGUGUU